UACGUAGGUGGCAAGCGUUGUCCGGGAUUACUGGGUGUAAAGGGAGCGCAGGCGGGAAGCCAAGUCAGCUGUGAAAACUACGGGCUUAACUUGUAGACUGCAGCUGAGACUGGUUUUCUUGAGUGAAGUAGAGGUUGGCGGAAUUCCGAGUGUAGCGGUGAAAUGCGUAGAUAUUCGGAGGAACACCGGUGGCGAAGGCGGCCAACUGGGCUUUAACUGACGCUGAGGCUCGAAAGUGUGGGGAGCAACCAGG
RNAcentral lists this ribosomal RNA (253 nucleotides) under uncultured bacterium. Its description in RNAcentral is "partial 16S ribosomal RNA". It matches the Rfam family "Bacterial small subunit ribosomal RNA", at positions 524 to 776 of the family's 1533-position model. The record is from RNAcentral.